AAUCAACGCUGGCGGCGUGCCUCGGACAUGCAAGUCGAACGCGAAAGUCCCCUUCGGGGGCGAGUAGAGUGGCGCACGGGUGAGUAACACGUAGGUAAUCUACCUUUGGAUGGGGAAUAACAACCGGAAACGGUUGCUAAUACCGCAUAAUGCAGCGGCACCUAAUGGUGACAGUUGUUAAAGCGGGGAUCAAAGACCUCGCGUCUAAAGAGGAGCCUGCGGCGGAUUAGCUAGGGUUAAGGUAACGGCUUACCAAGGCAACGAUCCGUAGCCGGCCUGAGAGGGCGGUCGGCCACACUGACACUGACAUACGGGUCAGAC
This 321-nucleotide ribosomal RNA is filed under the name uncultured bacterium. Its description in RNAcentral is "bacterial SSU rRNA". It matches the Rfam family "Bacterial small subunit ribosomal RNA", at positions 32 to 336 of the family's 1533-position model. The record is from RNAcentral.